UCCAAAUCAUCAUCAAUCUCUAAAGAACAAAAGACAAACAAAGAAAAAUUUGAAGGCGUAUCAAGAGACAUUGAGCUGAUUGAGAUGAAGUGAGUAGACGGGGUGAGAAUCUCACCACAUCGGGUGCCGGAAUCCGUGAGCGGCGCCUCCAUCUGCGAGGCGUGCAGGACCUUCUGCGCCACCUCCAGUGUCAGGCUGGCCGCCGGCAGCACUACAUCCACCUCCUGCUUGGCCGGCGUCGGCGCAGUGGGGAGCGCGAGUGGAUCUCGAAGGAGGACAGGCAGCGACGAGGGGCGAAAUGAAGGAGGACAGCGGCGGUAGAGGCAGAGGCAGCGGCAGCGGCGGACGGUGAGGUCCGGGAGACGAGGUCGUGGAUGCAGCGGCGGCCGCGGGUGGGCGCGAGAUGCGGCCGAGGGUGGGGUAGGUGCGUGCGAGAUGCGGAGAGGAGGGGAUAAGGAUAGGAUUUGGAGCGGAGCGUUGCUUCCUGUCGGUUCAUGUAACCCCGUCAGGAGCCUCUUGGUUUCCGGUAGUGAUCGGCCUGAGCGACGAGGCCGCCGGAAGCCUCGCGGCGGAGCUCGGCUUCCCCAGGAGCCGCCUGGAGGCCAGGGCCCAGAUCAAGAUCGCGCACCGGGAAGCCAUGGUCCUCCUCCUGACCUUCCGCUACCACUGCAUCAACAGGCGCUCCUACUACCUCGCCUACGACUCCACCGACGUGUCGCUCCGCAUGAUCCCGUACCUACCGCGCGGGCUCAAGGCCACCUACACGCUGGCCGCCGUCCCCGUGCGCGGCGGCGCCGGCGCGGGCCUCGCGCUGGCCCUCAUGGCGCGUCUGGUCGGCCCCCAGGACGUCGGCAGC
Molecule: long non-coding RNA, 856 nt
Filed under: Setaria italica (foxtail millet)
Lineage: Eukaryota; Viridiplantae; Streptophyta; Magnoliopsida; Poales; Poaceae
Description: long non-coding RNA (SITA_LNC006485)
Source: RNAcentral